RNAcentral lists this ribosomal RNA (465 nucleotides) under uncultured bacterium. RNAcentral's name for it is "partial 16S ribosomal RNA". It matches the Rfam family "Bacterial small subunit ribosomal RNA", at positions 28 to 507 of the family's 1533-position model. The record is from RNAcentral.
GACGAACGCUGGCGGCGUGCUUAACACAUGCAAGUCGAACGGAAAGGCCCCUUUGGGGGUCCUCGAGUGGCGAACGGGUGAGUAACACGUGAGUAACCUGCCCUUGACUUCGGGAUAACUUCAGGAAACUGGGGCUAAUACCGGAUAGGAAUCCUUGCUGCAUGGUGGGGGUUGGAAAGCUUCGGCGGUUUUGGAUGGACUCGCGGCUUAUCAGCUUGUUGGUGGGGUAGUGGCUUACCAAGGCUUUGACGGGUAGCCGGCCUGAGAGGGCGACCGGCCACAGUGGGACUGAGAUUCGGCCCAGACUCCUACGGGAGGCAGCAGUGGGGAAUAUUGCACAAUGGGCGGAAGCCUGAUGCAGCAACGCCGCGGGCGGGAUGACGGCCUUCGGGUUGUAAACCGCUUUCAGCAGGGGCGAAGCUUGUGGUGACGGUACCUGCAGAAGAAGCACCGGCUAACUACGUG